Molecule: non-coding RNA, 133 nt
Organism: Brachypodium distachyon (stiff brome)
Lineage: Eukaryota; Viridiplantae; Streptophyta; Magnoliopsida; Poales; Poaceae
Source: Rfam
GUUUUACUUCCUCUGUCUAACAAAAGAUGUAUUGAUUUUGACUAAAUUUGAAUGCAUCUAUACACUAAGUCAUGUGUAACAUUCAAAUUUUGACAAACUUGAGACAUCUUUUGUUGGACGGAGGGAGUAGGUA